Poecilia reticulata (guppy) is the source of this 1277-nucleotide non-coding RNA. Lineage: Eukaryota; Metazoa; Chordata; Actinopteri; Cyprinodontiformes; Poeciliidae. The record is from the annotation of a RefSeq genome assembly.
UGACGUAAAAUGGGCAUUAGUCAAUGAAAGGCGGACCCUGUGGUAAGGUCCAUUGUGGUGGUUGGUUUGAGCGUCCCACUGAUCCUAGGAGUUAUGCUGUCGGGGCUUCAUGCCUCUGGUACGGCCAUCUGAUGCAGACGGGUCCUAAGCAGGUGUCUGUUUGACUGUUUGCUGCUUUGAAUGAUUGUUGCGCUUCGCUGCUCCUGGAUCAGUUUAAAGUGAAACUCAGAGAAGCUCCUCUGCAGUCUGACGGUCAGAUUUUCCUCAGCCAUGAUGUUUCUGAGUCCACUGUUGAUCACGCUGCUGCUCCAGCUGCAAGGAUCAGAUGGUAAUCCCUCUGUGACUCAGACUCCAGCAGUGAAGUCAGCUGCGUUGGGGGAGACGGUCUCUCUGAGCUGCUCAGCCAGUGCAGGAGUUGAUGAUGAUCUGAGUUGGUACCAGCAGAAACCUGGACAGCCUCCCAAACUGUUAUUUUAUAAAAUCACCAGCCGUCAAUCUGAUACUCCCAGUCAUUUCAGCAGCAGUGGAUCAGAGCCUCAGUUCACUCUGACAAUCAGUGGAGUUCAGGCUGAUGAUGUUGGAGAUUAUUACUGUAUGGGAGUGUAUUUAAUAAAUGAUGCCACAGUGUUCACACAGUGAUUUAUAGUCAUACAAAAACCUCCUUCAGUCAGACCACAGAUUGUGCAGCAGCUGUGAGUUUCUGCUGCAGACGGGAACAUGGAUCUACGGUCCAGUGAAGUUCACUCUGUAGUGCUAAUGGAAGAAACUAACAAAGUAUUUAUUUACUGAAAAUAAAGAUCAACAUUAAAGUGAGUUUUAAAUAAACUCAGAGUAAAAUAUGUCACAUUAACAUGUCUUAUGUUCAUCAGAAAUUAUUUUACAUCUCAUGAGAGUGAAGUCUCAGAAAAUUUAAUAUAUUUGAUUGCUAUGAAAACACUAUUUAGUAUAGCAUAGAGUUUGAGGUGAACAAAACAUUUAUUAAACAUCAGUAAUCAAACUGAUUACAUAUUGCAUAAAGUGUCAGGAUAAAUUAAUAUCAUCAACAUGUCUGAUGUAAUUUUCCCUGAAUAAUAACAGGAACAAUCACUGUGUGACUUUAUUCAUUUAAUGAAACAUAUUUCACUCAGUGAGAAACAUCUGAUACUAAAAUUAAAGUCAAACACCAUUAUUUGACAGCAAUUCUUAUUUAAACAACAGAUGUUGAUGACAUUUUUAAUAUUCAAUAAAACUUUCAUCUUGAAUAGUUUAUGUCAGAAAUUGUCUGUUCUCACCUGAAC